AUACGGAGGGUGCAAGCGUUACUGGGAAUCACUGGGCGUAAAGCGCGCGCAGGCGGCUAUUUAAGUUGGAUGGGAAAGCCUACGGCUCAACCGUAGAACUGCAUCCAAAACUAUUUAGCUAGAGUGUGGGAGAGGAAGAUGGAAUUAGUUGUGUAGGGGUAAAAUCCGUAGAGAUAACUAGGAAUACCAAAAGCGAAGGCAAUCUUCUGGAACACUACUGACGCUGAGGCGCGAAAGCGUGGGGAGCAAACAGGAUUAGAAACCCCGGUAGUCC
RNAcentral lists this ribosomal RNA (274 nucleotides) under uncultured bacterium. RNAcentral describes it as "partial 16S ribosomal RNA". It matches the Rfam family "Bacterial small subunit ribosomal RNA", at positions 523 to 796 of the family's 1533-position model. The record is from RNAcentral.